This is a long non-coding RNA of Falco peregrinus (peregrine falcon), 3977 nucleotides long. RefSeq lists it as uncharacterized. The transcript is spliced from 3 exons. The record is from RefSeq and is a predicted model, not a curated record. NCBI's taxonomy places the organism in Eukaryota, Metazoa, Chordata, Aves, Falconiformes, Falconidae.
GCCGCAGGCCCGGCCCGCUGCCGCCGUGCGCCUCCUUCCCUUGGCGGAGCAGGCGGAACGCGGGGACAUCUCCCGCCCCGCAGACUCGCCUGCUGGCUGAGGGGGAGCGGGGGAGCGCACUCACCAGAGAAAUGGAAAGCUUUCUGUCUCCCUACUGGAUCCACCCAGAGCCCAGUCCUGGAGGUAGCUUUGCAAGGAGUAAUCUUUAAAACCCAGGCCACAUUCUGGAGUUCCUCGGCACAUGCACACUCUGUCCAGACACCUGGUGAAAUAAACAACAGGAAGGACUUCGCCGUGACAAGUAAGAGACUUCCCAGCAAACUUUCCGCUGACAGGAACAUGGCAACACACGGAGAUAAAGCCUCCCAUUCCACCUUACAAGGAGGGCACCAGUCUUUGUCCAUUACGCCCCUUUUAUUAAAGCUUUAAUGGGGAAGCACAGAGUAUAAGAAAAAGAGGAACAUGAAGAUGCCUGUCUUUAAUCCUGUUCGCCUGUACAUUAUUUCUCACCCAUUUAUUCUGGUCUUUGCUUCUAUAUGAUUGAACUUUCAACUGCUUUUUAAUAUUGGCCAAUAGUGAGGUGAUCAUCACUGAGACUGAAAGUAUUGCACAUAUUGAGCUCUGAGUUGCAUCUCAUCCUAAAGAAAUCCUAAAAUACUGUGGAAAUUUCUACCAUUCCAACACCAUGACUGAUCCCUCUGGAGGACCAACUCUGAGAUAAGCAGACGGCUCAAUUUCCAGUUCUGUUACCACCCUUAGCGGACCCUUUCUUUCACUCCAGUGCAAAUACAUCUGCAAGUGCAGUGCGACUCACUAGAAAAACAGGAUUGGGAUCGACCUGAUCAGUGACUUACUGAUCAAGGUCCUGCAUCUCUGCAUUACCAGUCCCUUAAAAUUUCAGUUCUCCAAACACUUUUAACAGUUGCACUGAGUGACAUGCUCACAUAUGAACUGUAUGAAGAAGUCUCUGCCACCACUGAGAUCCUGAAAGUCAGGUUAAUCAAUGGGUAAAACAAACCUGGGCCAAUAACCCCAAAGAUCUAGACAUCUUCCUCUAGCCGAGAUGUACACUGAGUCUGUACUGCCAGUUUGGCAUAUUUCUCUUUAUUAAAAAUAGUCUUGUCAAGCUGAGGAUUAUUUUUAGUAUCAUAAUAGAGAAAAUACUGGGCUUUUCGCUUUUCCAGAUUUUCCCUAGAGACACAGCUGCUUAAUACAUUUUAGUGGACCAUAUAUCAGCUAAGUUACAGCUUGAAGCAAAAUUUUCAAUAGAGCAGAGUUGCCUGGAACUGGGGCCUUUAAAAGCACUUGCACUUUACAAACCAGAGAUGUAGUAGAGUGCUUUUCAGAACAAACCCUGCAAUGCUACGUGGGCUUGCUGAAAACAUCAGCAGUAGCUAAAGGAAAAAAAACCCCUUGCCUCAAACUUCAGAAAUGAAUCUAAACUUGUCCAGAGCUCAGAAAUACACGCAUCUGGGAUGUGGGAUUGAACUGACAAUGAAGUCAAACGGAGGGUUUUUUACUCUCAAAGUUCUUCUACACUGUUGUCAUAUACUUGGGAGUGUUCAAACCUCUUGGUGGUCCUUGGACCCCCCAUAGCCUUACAAGACACAUGGGGAAGCCCCUAUUACAGGAGCCUUCUCUAAGUAAAUACAGUUUCUUCCCAGGUUGUUUCUUCACCCCUUUUAUUAGAAGAAGAGAAGGUGAGACUCUAUAUUCUGUUGUUCUAUUUCCUCGCUUUUGCCAGAGGCACAGAGCUAGCUGUAAUUUUUCCACCAGGAAGGAGGAGGUGGAUGCAUGCAUGGUACACGUGUAUACGUUCUGGCAUUAUGCAAACCAGCCCAGGCCACAUGCUUUUAAUUGCAUACAUGUUCGCAACCCUUAUUUCACAUUCAGACGAUUGCCUAAUGGGCCACAGGCAGAGCGGACCCCUCCUGAUCAAACACACGAACCCAACCACUGCUGCACUUGAGAGGUCACUGCGACGGCCGGCAGGGUCCCAACCCGUCUCUGGUAGCGAGUGCCCAGAGCCCUGCCUCCUGCUGAUGUCGCUGUAAAGAUCCAGCUGGUUUUGAUGGGGCAUCAUUGAGCUUUGCAUGUCUCCCUUUUUAUGUAGAUGUGUUACCACAGUGCCAGAAGAAGAGCGGAGCAGAUUACAAGCCAUAGCUUCAUCUCUGCAUUUCAGACUCCUAUUUAUACACAAAACAAUAUAUGGGUUUUCAAAAGCUGCCAAGAAAUCAAGUUUGGGGAAAAAAAGGGCACAAGAACUUUUCAUCUGCAAGUCAGUUUGAAUAACAACUUGUUAAAAAGAACUUUGAAAUGUAAAUAGCGAAGUCUAUUAAUAGUUUCAGUAACUUCCCUGCUCGGUGGCUCAGUGUUACCGAUGUUUGUGCCUCAGCUGGCUCCUGAGCUGGGGAAGAGGCCGUUGUGCUGCCCUGGUGUCCCAAACGGCACCGCACAGACGCCCUCCCCGGUGCGGCGCAGGCUGAAAUGCUGAUCUCAUGUUUGGUCUUUCGACAAAUUUUCAUUUAAUGAAUUGAUUCCUACAGUUCAUUAACAUACCCACUUCCACUUCUGUAUACACAUAUGUCUUAAUUAGCUGCUCAUUGGCUGUUUAAUUACAAGAAAACAGCUGACAGCUGCCUUGCUGCAUCCUAGUGGCAGACGUUUUGGAAUGACUGUAUGCAAGCCUGUGACAACAAAGGCUUAUUCAUAAUCCCAUGAUUUAUGGCUAAUACUUAAAGACUUCCACGUAUCAUUAAGUUUUGCAAUAUUCUAAGCAAUUAACAAUUAAUUGCGGGGGUCAUUCUUUUACUGUUUUGUAAAGCAAACUAACACAAAUUUUCCUCAAAGAAACAUCAGAAAAAUACGCUGCCAUAUGAAAGGCAGGUGAACAUUAAAAUUGGACUUUUAACUCUUUUAUGACAGUGAGUACAUAUUUUAGUUGUAAAGGGAGGAGAGUGCUGCGACAAUAUUGUUUAAUAGACUUUGUUAAUGAAGUAUUGAUAAAAAAGUUACAGGAUGACUGAAAAGAGAGGAAAGAUGUUCAGGUUUACAUCUGUAAUAAAGGCAGGUGUGAGACUGUUCCUCUGGUUAUACAAGGCCCCUGACCAGCCCUUUCUGCAACAUGGCUCGUCUCUUUUCUAACAUGUUUUGCUUGAAAUGGGCUAGGCAAAAAACUAAAAUACAGAAAAACUUCAAAAGCAUGAAUUCAAGGUAAAUGUUUGCUACACCAAUAUAACACUCCACAUUUAACAGAGUAAUGAGAAACCAGCUAGUGAAGAAAGCGAAGUAACAAACAUGGACAUUCCUUGUAGUUACAAUGACCAAGACCACCUCCGGUCUUGAAAGACACGAGACAAAAGCCAGCACCUAUAAACCUCUGAAAAUGUGUGAGCCGCCCUGCACGGGUGGUCUGAUGAGACCGGCUGCGUACCGCCAAGUAGGGAGGGAUCACCCUCAUGCGUUUGUGGGUUAGCUGGGCAUGAACUGACAUUAUUGAUGGCAAAAGCCAGUAACUGCAUCUGCAAAUUAAAAGACAUAGUUCAUUAAUAAAAACUUAAUGUCAAACUAAAUGCUUUGCUAUGUCCUUUUGAAGCAUUCAUGUGUUUUCUGACAAUGCUGAACUGAUUCAGCUGUCAGCCAUGAGAAAAGAAUACGGGUGUGUACAAACCAGCCUCCUUUCUCAGCAUGGUCCCCCAGAGCAAAAGGCUGUUUUCAGGCUCCUGCGGCUAACGGCUGAGGAAGGGCUCCAUACAGGUACUAGUUUUUUUCAGUAGUGCUACUACGACAGUAUUAUUUCCAGUCUUACACAGGAGAAUAAACUUUCAUUCCCGAGUCAUGGUACAGUCUUGUGUCAUUCUUCACCCGUGCUUCUGAGUAAAAGUCUGAUAUGAUUAAUCGCAUCUUCCCUUUUCUCCCAUUAUAUGUUGUAUACUGGAUAUCAGCAAUGAGUGGAUAGAAAAAAACACCUCUCUUAA